This is a long non-coding RNA of Clupea harengus (Atlantic herring), 631 nucleotides long. RefSeq lists it as uncharacterized. Lineage: Eukaryota; Metazoa; Chordata; Actinopteri; Clupeiformes; Clupeidae. The record is from RefSeq and is a predicted model, not a curated record. The transcript is spliced from 2 exons.
AGGGAGGCACUCCUUUACAGAGACUCGAAGGACCCAAAGGUGUCAGCAGCGGGAAUCGAGGUCAGAACGGGCAGGAAAUGGAAAGCAGGUGAGGCACUUGAGGUGGCGGAGUCCCGGCUGAGGCAGAGGGAGCUUGUGGGGAAUGUGGCCAGAGGCCGUGCUGGUCUCGGUUACUUCCCCAGUAUACAAGUUCGCAAAGCCAUUGGCAAAGACAGGCGUCUUCUUCUCCAGGAGGAGGUUCGAGCAGGCGUGGAAGAAGAAAGAGCAAGCAGGAUGGUGAGUCUAAGACAGCAAGGGGCAUGGACAAAGUGGGAAUCUGUACAGCAGCGAAGGGUCACCUGGGAUAACAUCCUGCGAGCAGACUACUACAGAGUCCGUUUCCUGAUCCAGACGGUCUAUGAUGGCUUACCAAGCCCGGCAAAUCUCCACGUCUGGGGCAAGAUCGAAACACCAUCUUGCGGGCUGUGCUCUGGAAGAGGAUCCCUCGAACAUAUCCUCAGCAGCUGCCCAAAGGCACUUGCAGAUGGUCGCUACCGCUGGCGGCAUGAUCAAGUGCUCAAGGCAGUUGCGGAGAUAGUAGCUUCGGCUAUAACGACAAGCAAACAACGUCGUCCAAAGUCCAUCAACUUUG